The sequence is a ribosomal RNA, 437 nucleotides long. It matches the Rfam family "Bacterial small subunit ribosomal RNA", at positions 341 to 792 of the family's 1533-position model.
ACGGGAGGCAGCAGUGGGGAAUAUUGGGCAAUGGGCGAAAGCCUGACCCAGCGACGCCGCGUGAAGGAAGAAGGUCUUCGGAUUGUAAACUUCUUUUAUAUGGGACGAAACAAAUGGCGGUACCAUAUGAAUAAGCCACGGCUAACUACGUGCCAGCAGCCGCGGUAAUACGUAGGUGACAAGCGUUAUCCGGAUUUACUGGGUGUAAAGGGCGCGUAGGCGGGGAUGCAAGUCAGGUGUGAAAUCUAUGGGCUUAACCCAUAAACUGCAUUUGAAACUGUAUCUCUUGAGUGUCGGAGAGGUAGAUGGAAUUCCUAGUGUAGCGGUGAAAUGCGUAGAUAUUAGGAGGAACACCAGUGGCGAAGGCGAUCUACUGGACGAUAACGGACGCUGAGGCGCGAAAGCGUGGGGAGCAAACAGGAUUAGAUACCCUGGUA